UCUACCAGCUGUGCAGGAUAGAGACCACAAAUUCUUAACAAAAGCUGUUGAAGAAGCAUAUAAGGGGGUAGAAUGUGGAGAUGGAGGCCCAUUUGGUGCAGUUGUUGUUCGUAAUGAUGAAGUUGUUGUGAGCUGUCACAACAUGGUAUUGAAAAACACUGAUCCAAUUGCACAUGCUAAGGUUACAGCAAUAAGAGAGGUCGAAACAGUAGCGCAGUUUGGUGUGAUUUUUCUUCUUUUUGCAUUGGGUCUGGAGUUCUCUGUAGCAAAGCUUCGUGUUGUCCGAGCAGUUGCUAUUUUAGGGGGCUUGUUUCAGAUAUUCUUAUGUAUGUGCUUGUGUGGAAUAACAUCAUCGGU
This is a non-coding RNA of Camellia sinensis, 357 nucleotides long. NCBI's taxonomy places the organism in Eukaryota, Viridiplantae, Streptophyta, Magnoliopsida, Ericales, Theaceae. The record is from RefSeq and is a predicted model, not a curated record.